ACUCCUACGGGGAGGCAGCAGUGAGGAAUAUUGGACAAUGGAGGCAACUCUGAUCCAGCCAUGCCGCGUGCAGGAAGACUGCCCUAUGGGUUGUAAACUGCUUUUAUACGGGAAGAAACAGCUCUACGUGUAGAGCCUUGACGGUACCGUAAGAAUAAGCACCGGCUAACUCCGUGCCAGCAGCCGCGGUAAUACGGAGGGUGCAAGCGUUAUCCGGAAUCAUUGGGUUUAAAGGGUCCGUAGGCGGACAAUUAAGUCAGAGGUGAAAGUCUGCAGCUCAACUGUAGAAUUGCCUUUGAUACUGGUUGUCUUUGAAUUAUUGUGAAGUGGUUAGAAUAAGUAGUGUAGCGGUGAAAUGCAUAGAUAUUACUUAGAAUACCAAUUGCGAAGGCAGAUCACUAACAAUAUA
RNAcentral lists this ribosomal RNA (409 nucleotides) under uncultured bacterium. Its description in RNAcentral is "bacterial SSU rRNA". It matches the Rfam family "Bacterial small subunit ribosomal RNA", at positions 335 to 739 of the family's 1533-position model. The record is from RNAcentral.